This 834-nucleotide ribosomal RNA is filed under the name uncultured Glomeraceae. RNAcentral's name for it is "eukaryotic LSU rRNA". It matches the Rfam family "Eukaryotic large subunit ribosomal RNA", at positions 1 to 694 of the family's 3401-position model. Lineage: Eukaryota; Fungi; Glomeromycota; Glomeromycetes; Glomerales; Glomeraceae. The record is from RNAcentral.
CGACCUCAAAUCAGGUAGGAAUACCCGCUGAACUUAAGCAUAUCAAUAAGCGGAGGAAAAGAAAAUAACAAUGAUUCCCCCAGUAACGGCGAGUGAAGAGGGAAUAGCUCAAAUUUUAAAUCUAUUAGGUUUCACCUAGUCGAGUUGUAAUUUGAAGAAGCAUUUUCCGUGUUUUCAAUUAACCCAAAUCCUUUGGGAUAAGGUAUCAUGGAGGGUGAGAAUCCUGUCCGGUUAAUUUGAGACACUUUACGAUACGCUUUCUAAGAGUCGAGUUGUUUGGGAUUGCAGCUCAAAAUGGGAGGUAAAUUUCUCCUAAGGCUAAAUAAAGGCGAGAGACCGAUAGCGAACAAGUACCGUGAGGGAAAGAUGAAAAGAACUUUGAAAAGAGGGUUAAAUAGUACGUGAAAUUGUUGAAAGGGAAACGAUUAAAGUCAGUCAUACUGAUGGGAAAUCAACUUCUCGAGCGUGGUUUAGUGGGAUCAAAGUGCCUUUGUUCUCGCGAUAUCUGCGUUCUUUUGGUGCACUUUCUUUAUUGUAGGUUAGCAUCGGUUUUGAUCGUCAUAAAAUGACUGGAGGAAUGUGGCUUCGACUUCGGUUGAAGUGUUAUAAACUCUGGUAGAUGUAAUGGUUGAGACCGAGGAUUGCAACGGAUGCCCUUAAGGGCUAUCCGCCUGGCCUCUAAUUGUCACUUUGGCUUCGAAAGCUUGCUUACGAUGUUAAAGUGUGCGGUCAAUAGGUUAGAUCGGAUUAAAUUCGUUAAGGAUGCUGACGUAAUGGCUUUAAACGACCCGUCUUGAAACACGGACCAAGGAGUCUAACAUGUAUGCGAGUGUU